This 140-nucleotide ribosomal RNA is filed under the name Oenococcus oeni. Its description in RNAcentral is "partial 16S ribosomal RNA". It matches the Rfam family "Bacterial small subunit ribosomal RNA", at positions 1 to 116 of the family's 1533-position model. Lineage: Bacteria; Bacillati; Bacillota; Bacilli; Lactobacillales; Lactobacillaceae. The record is from RNAcentral.
UUUUUAAAUUGAGAGUUUGAUCCUGGCUCAGGAUGAACGCUGGUGGCGUGCCUAAUACAUGCAAGUCGUACGCUAGCCGCUGAAUUGAUCCUUCGGGUGAAGUGAGGCAAUGACUAGAGUGGCGAACUGGUGAGUAACAC